RNAcentral lists this small RNA (342 nucleotides) under Arabidopsis thaliana (thale cress). RNAcentral describes it as "ATSL272640". Lineage: Eukaryota; Viridiplantae; Streptophyta; Magnoliopsida; Brassicales; Brassicaceae. The record is from RNAcentral.
AGUCAUGGCAAUGCAGCAGGAUACCUCCUACUUCAUCUUCUGAGACGCAUCUCCUGUAGAUCUUAUCUUUACAGAGAGUGUAAAGAUAAGGCUCAUCCCAGUAGUAAUGGUGUAUGUCUCUGAAAAACUUCUUCCUUUCAUAACUGGUCAGGUUAGGAGGCUCUACUCCGCAUGCCAAGUAAUUGACGUGAUCAACAUACCAUGGAGAUCCUCCUUCAACAGCAUUCAGUUGGUGGAACUCUUUCCCACUGUACCUCCUUCCGAAGAAUUCUACAACCAUGAGCUGCUCUUCUGGCAUUGAAUCGUCUAUCGGAAUGGGUUCUUCAAUUCUCAUCCUUCAUA